RNAcentral lists this ribosomal RNA (498 nucleotides) under uncultured bacterium. RNAcentral describes it as "partial 16S ribosomal RNA". It matches the Rfam family "Bacterial small subunit ribosomal RNA", at positions 29 to 523 of the family's 1533-position model. The record is from RNAcentral.
AUUGAACGCUGGCGGCAUGCCUUACACAUGCAAGUCGAACGGUAACGCGGGGCAACCUGGCGACGAGUGGCGAACGGGUGAGUAAUGCAUCGGAACGUGCCCAACAGUGGGGGAUAGCCCGGCGAAAGCCGGAUUAAUACCGCAUACGACCUAGGGGUGAAAGCGGGGGAUCGCAAGACCUCGCGUUGUUGGAGCGGCCGAUGUCGGAUUAGGUUGUUGGUGGGGUAAAGGCCCACCAAGCCGAAGAUCCGUAGCUGGUCUGAGAGGACGACCAGCCACACUGGGACGGAGACACGGCCCAGACUCCUACGGGAGGCAGCAGUGGGGAAUUUUGGACAAUGGUGGCAACCCUGAUCCAGCCAUGCCGCGUGCGGGAAGAAGGCCUUCGGGUUGUAAACCGCUUUUGUCGGGGAAGAAAUCUUCUGGGCUAAUACCUCGGGAGGAUGACGGUACCCGAAGAAUAAGCACUGGCUAACUACGUGCCAGCAGCCGCCGUAA